UACGGAGGAUGCGAGCGUUAUCCGGAUUUAUUGGGUUUAAAGGGUGCGUAGGCAGCUUAGUAAGUCAGCGGUGAAAUUUUGCAGCUUAACUGUAACAGUGCCGUUGAUACUGCCAGGCUAGGAUUUGGUUGCUGUGGGUGGAAUGUGUGGUGUAGCGGUGAAAUGCUUAGAUAUCACACAGAAUAUCGAUUGCGAAGGCAGCUCACAAAGCCAAGAUUGACGCUGAGGCACGAAAGUGCGGGGAUCAAA
This 249-nucleotide ribosomal RNA is filed under the name uncultured prokaryote. RNAcentral describes it as "partial 16S ribosomal RNA". It matches the Rfam family "Bacterial small subunit ribosomal RNA", at positions 524 to 772 of the family's 1533-position model. The record is from RNAcentral.